Molecule: ribosomal RNA, 381 nt
Filed under: uncultured bacterium
Lineage: Bacteria
Description: bacterial SSU rRNA
Rfam family: Bacterial small subunit ribosomal RNA
Source: RNAcentral
AACGUAGGAGGCGAGCGUUAUCCGGAUUCACUGGGCGUAAAGCGCGUGCAGGCGGUUCGGUAAGUUGGGUAUGAAAUCUCCUGGCUUAACUAGGAGAGGUUAUCCAAUACUACCGGACUUGAGAGUGAUAGAGGAAGAUGGAAUUCCCGGUGUAGUGGUGAAAUGCGUAGAUAUCGGGAGGAACACCAGUGGCGAAAGCGAUCUUCUGGAUCAUUUCUGACGCUCAGACGCGAAAGCUAGGGUAGUAAACGGGAUUAGAGACCCCGGUAAUCCUAGCCGUAAACGAUGUAAACUUGGCGUCGGUGGCUUAAACACCAUCGGUGCCGCAGCUAACGCGAUAAGUUUACCGCCUGGGGACUACGAUCGCAAGAUUAAAACUCA